CCUGACGCAGCAAUGCCGCGUGGAUGAAGAAGGCCUUCGGGUUGUAAAGUCCUUUCGUGGAGGACGAAAAGGUGGGUUCUAAUACAAUCUGCUAUUGACGUGNAUCCAGACGCAAGAAGCACCGGUCUAACUCACGUGCCANCAGCCNCGGUCAAUACNGAGCGUGGUGCAAGCGUUAAUCGGAAUCACUGGGCGUAAAGGGUGCGUAGGCGGUACGUUAGGUCUGUCGUGAAAUCCCCGGGCUCAACCUGGGAAUGGCGGUAGAAACCGGCGCAAUAGANUAUGGGAGAGGGUGGUGGAAUUCCANGUGUANCGGUGAAAUGCGUAAAUAUCUGGAGGAACAUCAGUGGCGAAGGCGGCCACCUGGCCCAAUACUGACGCUGAGGCNCNAAAGCNUGGGGAGCNNACANGAUUAAAUACCCUGGUAGUCCACGCCCUAAACGAUGAAUACUAGAUGUUUGGUGCCUAGCGUACUGAGUGUCCUAGCUAACGCGAUAAGUAUUCCGCCUGGGAAGUUACGGNCGCANGGUUAAAACUCAA
Molecule: ribosomal RNA, 540 nt
Filed under: uncultured bacterium
Lineage: Bacteria
Description: partial 16S ribosomal RNA
Rfam family: Bacterial small subunit ribosomal RNA
Source: RNAcentral